RNAcentral lists this ribosomal RNA (492 nucleotides) under uncultured bacterium. Its description in RNAcentral is "partial 16S ribosomal RNA". It matches the Rfam family "Bacterial small subunit ribosomal RNA", at positions 29 to 507 of the family's 1533-position model. The record is from RNAcentral.
AGUGAACGCUGGCGGUAGGCCUAACACAUGCAAGUCGAACGGCCGCACAGUAAGAGCUUGCUCUUACGGGUGGCGAGUGGCGGACGGGUGAGGAAUACAUCGGCAUCUUCUUUUUCGUGGGGGAUAACGUAGGGAAACUUACGCUACUACCGCAUACGUCCUACGGGUUAAAGCAGGGGAUCUUCGGACCUUGCGCGAUUGUAUGAGCCGAUGUCGGAUUAGCUAGUUGGCGGGGUAAAGGCCCACCAAGGCGACGAUCCGUAGCUGGUCUGAGAGGAUGAUCAGCCACACUGGAACUGAGACACGGUCCAGACUCCUACGGGAGGCAGCAGUGGGGAAUAUUGGGCAAUGGGCGAAAGCCUGAUCCAGCCAUACCGCGUGGGUGAAGAAGGCCUUCGGGUUGUAAAGCCCUGUUGUUGGGAAAGAAAAGCAGCAGGUUAAUACCCCGAUGUUCUGACGGUACCCAAAGAAUAAGCACCGGCUAACUUCGUG